This is an RNA transcript of Brassica napus (rape), 14301 nucleotides long. It is a transcript of the gene named glutathione S-transferase T3, with no coding region annotated. The record is from RefSeq and is a predicted model, not a curated record. The transcript has 9 exons. NCBI's taxonomy places the organism in Eukaryota, Viridiplantae, Streptophyta, Magnoliopsida, Brassicales, Brassicaceae.
AAAUUUGGGGCCAGAGCUAAUAUUUGAUGAGGCUUUGCCUAUACUCGGCCAUGUGUACAUGAAUGCAUGAUUCCAUGUUAAAACGAUCUUGUGAGAGAUUUUAGUUCUACAUUUCAUCUAUCCUAUAUGAAAACCUAGUCAUCACAGACUCGCAGAUUUAACUUUGAUUAGCCAGUUCUACUACUCAAAUAUUAUUUUAUUUGCCAAUAAAACUAUAGUAAUUGAUUCAUAAUUAGUUAGUGCUAUCCCUAUUUACAGUUACUUACAAUUGGCGUUCACUGUCGAUUUCACGAUGUGCUAGCACCCAAACUGGUCUUACUAUAAGGAAUCAAUGGUUGAGAUUAAUUGGUUCUUAAUGCCAUUUUGUUUAAGCAGUUCCAACUGCAAUAAAUGAAAGUUAGUUGGGAGUUUAUAUAGUUGUAGGGCAGCCCCCACCCCAAAAAAGAGAGUAAAAACUGGGUUAGAGACUAGUGAGGAACGUGCUCCUGCUUUAAAAUCUAUCAAGGAGUUGACGGUCCAUGUUUAUCUGCAAAUAUAUUUGUUUUACUUCGCUAGUUUAAUAGUUUGUUAUAUUUGAUGAAUUUAUGUGAAUUAAUAUCUUUUGUCUUGAGAAAAAAAAUUAUCAAUCGUAUGGCAGCUAUACGACAGAGAUCAUUAGGUUAAUGACAAAUUAUUUUGGUUAAAUAUACAAUAUUGUAAGAAAUUGCGUGGGUUUUAACUCGAUAUACCCCUCUCACUCUUGAAAAAUUCUUCUUUCUCCCCAUAAUAUAAUAUAUUUUCUUUUUGAUUUUUCUUUAAAUGAGAAAUGUGGUCAAAGACAAUAUAACCCUUCAUAAAAUAGCUUAAUUACAAAGAUCCAACCUUAAAGAUCCGACCGACCCAAACUCCAUCUGGUUCAACCCGUACCUUUACAUAAACGACAGCGUUUUGUCCCAAUAUCUCUCACAUCCAACUCUCGAAUCAAACGCACCAGCUCAAGAAGAGCUUCCACGAUGACGGCUCGAUGCGACGUAGCUACAAAAUCAGCUGAUUCGGUGAACGCAAAGUCCGAUCUUUCGGAAGAGGAGAUCGAAGCGAAGGCAAAGGUAGGAACAGAGUGACUGCGCCUUUGAAGGGUUAUCAUGUAAACCCUAUCCCGGAGGUUGAUUUGUAAGUUGUAAGCGACCACUGUGGAGAUAAGGUGGGGACACGUCCUGGGUAGGGCCGGACGGGAGGGUGUACCAUAGCCACGAUGGACUCGCACCGCACUCACACGAACCCAUCUACUCUCCUGGUUACUUCAGCUGCCGAGCUCCUUCCCUCAACGACCGUAACUUCUCUGAGAGAGCUUUUACCGUCGGUAUCGGCGUUCCUGUCGGCACAGGAAACUUUGAGUUUGGUGUCGGGUUGCAAAUGGGCACUGGGAACUGGGAAAGAUACAGUCUACUUCAAAUGUAAGUUUUUUUGUAAUGUUGCACUUUCCAUAUGAUUUGAAGGGUUUCUGCCUUUUGACUAGUGUGGUUUUGUUGCUAUCAAAGGCUGUGAAAGUGUUUACUGAAGAGCUUGUUCCAGCAAACCCAGAUAUUUUGGAAGGUGUUGCAGACCUUAUACAGCUUAGCUAUUUAAAUUAACCGUCUGUUAUUUAUAAACUUCGUGUCAGAUACUUGGAAGACUGAUGAAGGACCUCAGAAGAAAAGACAGCUUCUUCUCAGGGAGGACCUCAGCCAUUGGCAAAAUGUUGUGACCACAGACCUGCUGAGGUUGAUCAAAAAAAAAAAGACCUGCUGAGAAUCUCGUCUUGUAGAAAGGUGGAUCCUUGUACUGGACCAGAGAAGUUGAUAAGGUCUUGUCCGGCUCUUGAGAGUUUGCAACUCAAAAAGUGUUGUUUGAAUGAUAAAGAAGGGAUGGGAGCUUCUUGGGGCAUUAUAUUUUAUCUUCGAUGGAUCCUUGUCCUGGACCAGAGAAGCGUUGGAAGCUUCUUGAUGUUUUAUAUCAAUUAGGUACACUGAUGUUUUGUAUAAAAUGAUAUUAUUGAGAAAAAAAAUUAUUGAUUUUAUUUUUGUUGUGAUGUUUGGAAAACCAAAGUAACAUACUUAUAUUUAUUCGUGGAGAGCUCGUGACUUCCUUUGAGGGUAAUCAGGAAUGUAACACAAACAACAUUUACAUAACAAGUGAUCAAGAUCGACAGGGCGGAAAAAAGAAUAAAGCAAAGGUUUAAAAAAAUUUGAGAUUCGAGUAAAUCUUUAAAAAAAAUUGUAGGUAUUAAGGGUUUUGAAGAAAUUUCAGUUUUUUUUUUUUUAAGUUUUAAAUAUUUAUUUAGAAUAAUAUUUUUAUUCUUUAACUACUAUAAUCUGAUAUUUUUAUCGUUUUAUGGAAUAUAUAAAAGCUUUCUAUUUUUUAUUUGAUUGAUUUUAUUAACAAAAUUUUAAUUACACUUAGUAAUUCUUGGUAAUCUUCAAGGUAGUAGUAAUACAUCCUUACACAUAGUAAUAUUUUGGCAGAUUUUAAGUUUUAUUAGUAAAACUAUGUCGAAAUGAUAUAUUUUGUAGUAAAACCAAUGAUUUUAUACAAUGAAUGUCAUUAAAAAAUAUAAUUACAUAAACAGUUUACCAAAACUAAAUAUUUUUGUAGAUUCUUCUUACUAUAGCUUUGCGAUUCACACAACAACCAUGAAAGUUAAUGAAUCAUUUUGGGAAAAUGAUAAAUUUUCCUAAAACUAUAAUAAAUAAUCAUCUAAAUAGUUUUAAUAGGCUUAUGUACUAUAUACAUAGUCUACUAAUAGAUAAUAUAUGGGUUCUAUAUCCUAAAUAUACGUACUACUUGCAAUAUAUAGGAGUUUCAAACUUCGCACAAUAAAACCCAGUAAUCCUAGUAAUCUGAAUUACACAUAACAAACCCAGUAAUCUUAGUAGUAUGAAUUACACACAAUAAAUCUAGUAAUCCUAGUGAUCCAAUUAUUUCAUUUUAUUUCAGAUAUAUUUUAUUUCAGUUUUAUUUUAUUGAAGUUUUCCUGAAAUAAAAUGGAAUUAUCAUUACAAUUAGUAUUAUUAAGAAUUUUAAAAUUAAUUCCACACCGUACAGUCUUCUCUUACUAAAAUUAAUCCGUUUUAGUACUAUACAUAAUAAUACUGGUAAUAUUAUAUACAAAACCACAUUUAAGUUCUUUGCAAUAUAUAUUAUAUACACCAAAUAAUAAAAUUAAUAUAAAUGUCAAAUUUCAAAAAUAACAAUUAAUGUCUAUAUACUAAAAUCAAAUAUUUUUCUUAUCUUAGAAUAAAUAUAUCUUAAAAUAAUAAAUCUAAAUAAGAAAACUUUUGUAAAUUAAUAUCUCUACAAAUUAAUAAAAUUUCAAAGUUCCAACAUUAUUAAUUUGUAGAGGUUCUACUGUAGUUCUAUUAGUAAUACCCAGAAAUGAUCCUUUCACUUAUUAAUCAAAAUUUUAGGACUUUUUGUUCGGAUUUUACAUUAUUCAUAAUAGGCCUGGGCAUUCGGGAUCCCAAUCGGGUUUCGGUUUUGUCCAAUCGGGUCUCGGUUUUUCGGGUUUAUCAAAAUCAGCCCCAUUCGGAUUAUAUAAAAAUUCGGUUCGGGACCGGUUCGUGUUUUAUCGGGUUCGGAUCGGGGUUAGUAAAUCUUCAAAGAACCGGUACAACCCGGUGUACUUUCGGGUUUUGGGUUCCAACCGGUUCUUCGGUUUUACAGUACUUGAUUUAUACCUAUUUUGUAACCAAAACAUAAGUAAAAUCGGUUCUUCGGGUUUAAAGUAUUUGAUUUGUACCUAUUUUGUAACCAAAACAUAAGUAAAAUCGAUUCAGAAAUAAGAAAAAAAUAUCAAACAUGAUCAUUCAAAGUCAAACGAAAGGUAUACGUUGUUAUUGAUAGAAAGAACCAAUAAAUGAUAUCAUAAAACGAAAAAUUAAGUUAUCAUGAAAUGAAAAAAAUUAUUCAAUGAAAAUAAAACCAAAAUCUAAAAAUUUCAAGCCUCAACCGCCACUUUCAACCAUCAACCUUCAUGUAGUAGAUAGUUAUUGUAGAUGUUUAAUAAUAUCUUAGUGUAUUUUGGCUACAUAUCAGGAAUUGAAAUCAUGUUUGGUACAAGUUCUUUUUUGGCAUUUUGAAUGUUUCGAGUUCUAUCGGAUAUCCAUUUAAUUUCGGGUUCGGUUCGGAUAAUAUCCAUAACCCGAAAUACCAUAAAACAAGAUCCAUUCGGUAUUUAUGUCGGGUUCAGAUCGGUUCGGAUUCAUUUUCAUCGGAUCGGGUUCGGUUCGGAUUUUCGGGUUCGGUUUAUUUGCCCAGCCCUAAUUCAUAAUGUAUAAUUCAUCUAAAUGAAAUUACACACAAAAAAUCACCAAAAACGAUAUAAAUUAUAUCCUAAACCCAUAAACACAAUUUUUAAAAUCCUUUUUAAUAUUUUAAAAUUUGGAUUGAAUCUUUUUUUUUACACUAGCCGAAAUAUACACUUCUUUUUAAUAGUAUUUCAGUAAAAAAUUCACCAAAAAUGGACAUAAAAUAUACCCGAAAUUCAUAAACACAGUUUUUAAAUCAUUUUUUAUCUCUCAAUAUUUUCAUCAAUUAUUACCUUUUUAACGUUAUCCAUGAUAUAAAAACAUUUAAAUGAUAUUCCAGAAAAAAAAAUCAUCGAAAACAGACAUAAAAUAUACCUGAAAUCUAUAAACACAGUUUUCAAAAUCGUUUUUAUCUCUCAAUAUUUUCAUCAAUUCUUACUUUUUUAACAGUACCCAUGAUGUAAAAAACAUUUAAAUGAUAUUCCAGAAAAACAAUCAUCGAAAAUGGACAAGAAUCACCUCUUCUUCAAGCUUCAAAAUCAUCAAUGGAGGAUGGAGAAGAUGAACCUUCACGAUGGGAGAUAAAGUCAUGUUGGCCAAGUAAAAUCUCAUUGGUUAAGGUUAAUAUGUGGGUCAUAGUGGUAGAUAAAUUAUGAUUGGUUAAUUUAAUUGGAGAAAUUAAUGUAUUUAUGAAGUGGAAUAAGAUAUAAUAAACUAAUGGAGGGUUAUACAUGGAAGCACAAUGACAAAGGGGUACUGAGAAUAGAAAGGGGAUAAAGAGAAUAAUUUUUUUUUCAUAGGGGCAUAUGGAGUUAGCCCCCACAUUUUUUCUCUUUACUUUAAUUAUUUUGGUGUUGCGAGACUCAUUGAAAAACUCUUAGUGCAAAUAUACAAUCGUGCUCCAAAAUUUCUCAAGAGUUAAUGAAACACCUUUUAGGAAUUAUGGGCUCGAAGCCCAUUAACAAAUGACAAUAUGUAGCUGUUAGGGUUAUUUUUGUUGUUAAUCGAAUAUACUUAAGCUCCUAACUAGGUUCUUAAGAUAAUUAAUAAUUAAAAAAAAAAAAUAGGUAUUAACCUAAGAGACGUAUCCUAUCUCCUCUCUAAAACAGAGCUUUGUGUCUCAUAACGGCAAUGCUCUCUGUUUCUCUAGCUCUCGCUUGCUCUCUUCGUCUUCUUCAGUACUCGUCGCCGGCGGCGGUCUCGCCGUGAAACGACAUGGACUAGCUUCGAAACCGGUGAGGACGGUGAAUCUCUCGGUGAAGUCCCGUCAGACGGAUUACUUCGAGAAGCAGAGGUUCGGUGACUCGUCUUCUUCUUCACAGAACGGUGAAGGAGGGCCUGCUAGGUUUUAUGUGGGACAUUCAAUAUCCAAAGGGAAAGCUGCGUUGACGGUGGAGCCAAGAACACCUGAGUUUGUGUCUUUAGACUCUGGAGCUUUCAAGUUAUCCAAAGAUGGUUUUCUACUGCUUCAGUUUGCUCCUGCAGCUGGUGUAAGGCAAUACGAUUGGAGCAAGAAAGGUGAGACUUUGGAGUCAGAUGAGAUCAGUGAGGAAGUGUAUCUUCCGUUGAAAGAAUCAAUAGGACAUACUGAAGUUGAAGUGAUAGCAGGAGCUUUGUUCGGUUUCUUAGUUAGCUUUGGUGUUUAUUCCCUUAUGUCAAAGCUACCAACUUUAUAUGUGGGUUGUUAAGAAAAGAGAGAGUUUGAUAUUUGUGCAAUUGUAAAACUUAAGAGAAUCAGUGGAAAUGUCAAAAACAGUUUUGUGGAUAGCAUGUUGCUCUUGCUGUUUUGGUUUUGGAGAGAGAUGCAGGUUCCAUCACCCAGCAGACAGUGUAAUGGCCAAAUAAGCUUCUCAACAACCGAAUGUAAAGCUGAGUUCUUGCAGGGUAUCCAGAAUAGAGGGUGCACUUAAUUUCCUGUAUUACAUGAAGACGGGGACUUGCAAGUGCGGCGUUAUUAGCCCUCGUUCUGAUGUUGGUGUCAAGGAGAUUGAAUGCUGGACUGCUCGUUUGCUUCCUUCUGAGACAGGUGCGGUCUUCUUAUACAUUUUUCUUUGGCUACCAUGUCAUGUAAUCACUCUAUGCCAAUUUAACUAUAAAAACUAGCUUGCGAACUAGAGAAUCACUUUCUAUAACUUGUCUUAAGAUUUGAAGAUGUGAAGAUAUACCAAAGCUUAUUCUCAUUGAUGUGUUGUUUUAUCAUAAUUUUUUUUUAAGAAACCUUGAAUAAAAGACUUGCAAUGGAGGACAUAAAAAUUGAAAGUUCUUAACUAAGUUUCUUAACCAAAUUUACUAUUUAAAUAAUAUUAAAAAUUAAUAAGGGGUCUCUAGGAUAAUGAUGCUCUUAUAAGUUCAUGGUGUAUAUACCAUGCUUGUAGUAUUCAAAUUCUAUCAAUACGAAAGACAAUAAAUAUAUAUAUUCAACUCUAUUUUUUUAUGAAAGCCCUUUAUAAAAAAACCUAUAUUUUAUAAAAAAACUAUUAGACAUGUUUAUAACCUGGGUUUUUUAUGUUCUUUCUCCAUUACUACUUUGCUUCAUAUGAUAUUUUAUAUACGUAAACAAGUAAUUAGCUAACAAAAUUUAACAUAUCCGAUGUGUAGACAUAUAUUUUUUAUAAUUUACAAUAAGAACAAACAAAAAAAGGUUAAUUAGCAGCAGGCGAAUUAAGCAUUACCCAAGCGCAGUAGGGAUUUAACUGUAUUGUCAAUGACAAUUUGUCAUCAUUAAAGUUGAAUUGAAGUGAUUAAUAAGCAUCUUUUCAUCUUUUAUUGGAUUAUCUAAUACUUACGUUGCUUAAUAGUAGUAACUAAAGAUCUAAAAACCUUAGAAUAAACAUCAAUCAUUGGACAAUUCCAUAAAUUUUCGUUUUCUGUCACAAACUUAAGUACAAGUAUACUUAGGAAUUUCGUGUUAUUUAGCGCGGUUUGACUUUCACGUACGUAUUGUUAACCAUAUAACUUCAAGCAAGUAACUAUUUAUUAAAUAUAACUGGGGCUCGUCAUGCAGCCAGCACAACAUUGACUUUACAAUAUCUAUACAGUAAGACCAUGUUUAUCGCAGAACCUAAAGGGUUUCUUAGUGUUAAUUGUUGAAUUAAUUAAAUCCAAAGAAAAGAAAAACCAAGAUUACCGAUCCUUACUGGAGGGUUUUGGGAAUCGGUUUUAUGGUGGUUUUUCAAACACGUGGCAGCACCACAAUUUAUCUUUUUUUUCCAUCAGAAGACCGAUCGAGAGCAUGCACAAACGAAGACGACUCUCUCGUUCCUCACGGCGACUCCUUCCUCUUGAACUCGAUAGGUGUGUGCUUUCUCUUGAUUCUAUCUUCAUCUCUGAAACUACUCUCUGAAGAAUUGGGGAUGAAAGCUUCGUGAUGGACUACGAAACGUUUGAUAGCAGCGGGUUUACGCAAGUUGUGGACUUUCUCAGAUUGAGCAGGAAGCAUACAUAUCUAUCAUUAGUUAGUUGGGUACUUCAAUGAAUCUCAGGAAAAGGACAGUCUUAUACCAGAACUGCGUAAAGAGUUGAAAGUGUCAAACGAGGACAUUGAGAGCUUCUCCGUCUGAUCCGUGUGUCUCUCAGCUAUCGCUCACGAUCUCUUCAAACUGAGAAACAGAAGUUGUGAUAUGAAGCAAGCCACAAGAUUCUUAUUGAAGUCAGAAGAAGCAAGAGAAGUCACGGGUGUGUAUGUUUGUAUGUCUGUAUUAGUCACAAGUUUGUCACGAGUCUGUAUGUCUGUAUUAGUCAAGAGUGUGUCAAGUUUGUCACGGGUCUUUGGUAUGUUUGUCACGAGAGUGCUUUACUUCUCUCCUUUUCUAUAUAAGUCGCAAGUUUUGUAUACAAAAUUCGCAAGUUUACUUCUCUCCUUUUCUAAAUAUAUCAAAGUCUCAUUCGCAAAACACUCUUUUUCGUCAUCUUCUACUUGAUCAUCUCCUUUGCCAAAACACUCUUUCUCAUCAUCAUAUCUUCUACUUAAUCAUCUCAUUCGCCAAAUACACUCGUUUCAAAAAAAAAAAAAUCAAAACACAUUUUAAAUUUUGAUCACAUAUAUGGCAUCUUCUUCUAGUAACAAUUUUGAGGGAGUAGAUGGUCAAAGUUUUGAUGAAUAUUUUGAUCAAUAUGUUGAUCAAUAUUUUGAUCAAACAUUCGAAAAUUUGGCUAUUAAUUAUGGUGAUCAAGAAGACGAAAGAACAAAAAAAAAAAACGAGUUCACAUCGAAAAAAAAUCGUGAAGAAGGCGAUCGACGUUUGUGGAAUGAUUAUUUCAGUGAAACUCCAACAUAUCCUGAAAAUCUAUUCAGACGACGAUUUAGAAUGAACAAGUCAUUGUUCAUGCGUAUUGUUGAUCAACUUUCCAAUGAAGUUGAAUACUUCCGACAAAAGAAAGAUGCUCUCGGAAGGCUUAGUCUCUCUCCACUUCAGAAGUGUACGGCAGCCAUUCGUGUCUUGGCCUAUGGUUCUGCGGCUGAUGCUGUUGACGAAUAUCUUCGACUCGGUGCAACGACAGUUCGGUUAUGUGUGGAACAUUUUUUAGAAGGAAUAAUAUAUUUAUUCGGCGAUGAGUACCUAAGAAGACCAACACCGACUGAUCUUCAACGUCUACUUUAUAUUGGUGAGCAUCGUGGCUUUCCCGGGAUGAUAGGGAGCAUCGAUUGUAUGCAUUGGGAGUGGAAGAAUUGUCCCACCGCUUGGAAAGGUCAAUAUUCACGUGGUUCGGGUAACCCCACAAUAGUGUUAGAGGCGGUUGCUUCGUAUGAUUUAUGGAUAUGACAUGCGUUUUUUGGACCUCCAGGUACCUUAAAUGAUAUCAAUGUUCUUGAUCGCUCACCUGUUUUUGAUGACAUAAUAAAAGGUCAAGCUCUGCAAGUUACUUUCUCUGUCAAUGGAAGAGAGUAUCAUUUGGCUUACUAUCUCACCGAUGGUAUUUAUCCGAAAUGGACAACUUUUAUCCAAUCUAUUCCAAUACCACAAGGUCUGAAAGCGACUUUGUUUGCUCAACAUCAAGAAGCUGUCCGAAAAGAUGUCGAGCGUGCUUUUGGAGUCUUGCAAGCUCGAUUUGCCAUUGUUAAAAAUCCAGCACUUUUUUGGGAUAAAGCCAAAAUUGAGAGGAUUAUGAGAGCAUGUAUCAUACUCCAUAAUAUGAUAGUAGAAGACGAACGAGAUGGAUACACUCAUCUUGAUGUUUCAGAGUUCCAAGAAGGAGAGGACACCAGAACUUCACAUGUCGAUCUCACGUAUUCUACAGAUAUCCCUUCAAAUAUCGCCAAUAUGAUGGGUGUUCGAACUAGAAUUCGUGAUAGACAAAUGCAUCAACAACUCAAAGCUGAUUUGUUUGAACAUUUAUGGAGUAAGUUUGGACGUGAUGAAGACAACAACUGAGUUCGAAUGUUUCUUUCAAAUUACUCUUAAUUAUUGUACUAAGCUUUAUUUUUAUGUUUUUUAAUAUCAAUGUUUUAAAUAUUAUCUUUUAAUAUAUUUUAUUUAAUAAAUAAAUUUUAUCUAAAAAAAAAAAAAAUUUAAAGAUCCCUAAUUAAGAAACUCCCAUUGGACCGCUCAAAAUGAGAAUUUUUUAAUUAGAGCUCUUAACCCCACUUAAAUACAAUUAAACUAUUAAAUAAUCAUUAAGGAUCCUACUUAAGGAUCAUGGGAUAAUCAUGCUCUAAGUUACAUUACUAACAACACUAAUAUACAUACAUGCAUGCAUAUACAUAUGCACACGUAUGUGAUCAUAUUAAUAGAAAAACGUCAACUUCUCGUAUCUAAUUUGUGAUUCGAAGACUUAUUGAACGAAAUUACUUACCAUUUCUCAAUUUAUAAUUAAAUACAUGCUUACUUACUCUUAAGUCUUAACAAAAGAAUAUAAGUGCACGCUUAUCUGAUUAUAUAAAUUUAUAUUAACUUUUGUUAAAAUAUCAUUAACAAAAAAGUAAGAAAAUAUGAUAGGCUCACAUUUACAAAAGAAAAUUAUAUAUAUAUAGAGAAAAUCACAUUUUAAACCAUGAGAGUGUCACAUUCUCGCACUUUAAACACUGAACCUUUUUGACUAACACUUUAAACUUUGAAAUUGACAUUUUUAUCAUAAUUUCUCCAUAUUUUCUAGAAUAUCCGUAUAUAAAUACUUUAUUCUGGUAUAUUCUUUGGCUUCAAACACAACCGACACAAAUUUACAUGCAGGACCAUGAAUUUAUAGGAUCAUAAACAUAUUCAAAUUAUCUUUUUUAAAUUGGCAAUUUAAAAACCAUGUGAUCCUCUUUUUUUUUUUUUGAACAACUAAAAACCAGGUGAUCCAUUGUAUAAUAACUUUUUAAAAUUUGAGAACCAAAUCUAAUAGUAAUUUAAUCAGUGUGUCCAGAACCGUCCAUGCUCACAUGCCAAAGUGUUAAAACAAAAUCGGGCUAAUACAUAUCGGGUUAAGAUUAUCAGCAAAGUUAGUUUAAUGAAUUGCCGUUCAAAAAAUAUAACGGGUGCAACUGGAUUACAAGUUUUUGGAAUGAAAUUGUUUGGAAUGGCUUAUUCCUACAGAUUUUAAUUUUUUUUUACCAUUUGAAUGGAACAAAAAAUAAACUCAUUCUAAUGAUUCCUUAUGGAAUGUCUUGAAAAAAAUGGAAUGUUUAUAAAACAUUCAUGAUUAAAAAAGCUAUAACUUUUUUUAUUUCAUUCAUCUAAGUUCCAUUUUUUUUAAUUCCAUUCAUCCAUGAUAUUCCUUAAAUUGGAUGAUGAAUGAGAUCUCGAAUUCUCGAAUUGGUCGAUUGAUUCUCUCCAUGGAAUAGAAAUCAAGCGAGGAAAGAAUUGGCGUUGAAGUUGGUGGGUGCGUUGUUAGUGAGCCUGUUUCCCGGUAGGUUCCGGAGAUUGCCGUUUAGUUCCGGCGACGUCUUGGUCAGUGAAGACGGUAAAGUGCUUCCAACACGUGUCGCUCCGUUCUUGUGCGGUGAACACGUUGACUUGGCAUGUCACCAUUUUUUCCUCUGUUUUUUUGGGUUUUAAGUGGGUCAUUGUUUGGGCCUCUGAACUUAUAUAUAUAUGACGUAUGUGCUUGUUUGUUUUUAAAUGGUCUUGUCUUGGGCUUGUAUGUUCCUAUAUUCUCUGUUUAAUAUAAUUAUAGUUGGCAAAAAAAAAAAAUUGCCGUUCAAAAAAAAGAGUAUCAGCAAAGUUAUUCUAAACACAAAACUUAUUUUAAUGUGUAUUCUGUAAUCGUCAUAAAAUCCACGAAUAAGAAGAAUCGAACACACCGUUGCUCUAAAACAUAUUUUAAUUAGGAUAAUGUAGCCACGAAAGAGAAUGCAAGUACACAGAAUCACAGAGAGUCCCGUCAAUCGAAGCAUAUAAAAAUUCCGAGAUCCGUUUCUGUUCGAGAUGAGGUCAUCACUCAUCAUAACACGUGUUUGGUUCACAAACUUUUUAUCAAUGUUCAAGAUAGAUCUAUCCAUUGAAAGUUUUCAUUGACGCGGCCUACAAUACCGUAAAUGCACACAACACGUUACACACUUCCAAUGCCCAAAACUCUUUUGUCAGUUUUAGGAUAUAUUUUGUCAUUUUCUUCUACCCUAUAUAAUUUGUAAAAAAGGUUUAAACAAGCCUUAAAAAUUACUAGAAGAAAACAGAUUGGUGACUGUGGUAGGUAGAGGUUAUUCCACACGCAGUUAUAAACUAGUGUUACGUCUCUCGUAUACGAGGAUUUUCUGACUGCUCAUGUAUUGAAGUGUAAGCGCGAACAAAAAACAUAGAGAUAUUAUCACUUGUUUAUAUGAUCUCGAAGUAUCUCAAACCUAUAGAAUGACUCAAACUAAUUUUUUUUUAAAAAGGUGUAUUCCACGGAUAGAUUUUCUUUUCGGAUACGCAAAUGGACUGUAAGUAUGAGUUCAUAUCUAUGUAGAUGUUCAGGAACAAUGUGACUUAGUUUAGAACAAUAAGUGUAUCAAACUUAAAAUGUAUUAGCCUCUCAUCUUCCCUCUUGUACCACCUGACCACACUGUUCCAGACAACAUUAUAGUUCUUUUACUUUGUAAAAUGAACCGGUUUAUUAUUUUUUUUUCCUUUUGUUCAACUUUAGUUCUGAUGUUGAUGAAAACCUCCCGAGGAGUCGGCACUCUAAGUUGGUAAAGGGGAUAAACCUUGCUGCUAUGAAACCUUAAAGCUUCAAAGACAAGGGAUGUGGAGUGAAUGGUCGCACGAAGGAUGCGGAAGGCCUUCGAUAUUCCAACUCAAUGCCCUAGGAUAUGAUGCACAUAGACGACAAUGAGGAUGAUUCCCUGGAUAUGACGCACCAGGACGAAUCGGUUUGAUCCCUUGGAUAUGACGCACCAAGACGGAUCGAAAAGAUCAAUGGAUAUUACACACCAUUGAAAAAAAAGUGAGAAUCACUCUCAAGGUUCCAAAAAUAAUCACUCAAAGCUUAUCUUAUUUCAAUAGAGAUUACAACUUAUUUAUAGGAAACUAAUCUUGUUGAGAAAACUAGAUAAUUAAUACAUAGGAAAUCACAAAAUAGUGCAUGGAGGAGAGAGAAUGUUCUUGGAACAAGCAAUCCUUGCAUGCAGGAGAGAGAAGCUUUCCAUGCAAUUUAGUUUGUGAUUUUCGUCACUUUCCUUGGACAGCAAAGAAACCACUUGAUUUUGAUUCUUCUUGGGCUUGUAACUUCAUAAAAAUGGGUUGGACAUGUUACCUAACAUCAUGGGUUGAUUUUUGAUUAUUUUCCAUGUUCAAAACUUCAUAAAUCAGCCCAAGAUCACAUCAGAUGUCUUUUAGAUCGUUAUAACUAAUUUCAAUAUAAUAUUUGUAGUUAAUUUCUUGAGAAAGAUUGCAAUCAAAUUUUAGUUGCAAAACCACAUAAAAUUAACAAUGGUUUUCCCAUAUACAUGCAUGUGAUGUUAUAUUAAUAACAAAUUUUGUGGGUUUGUUAUUAUUGGUGAGAGAAUUUUUUAUCAGCGGUACGAUAGAGUUUAUUCUUGACGCAUCAAUACAUAGCUUACAAAACUAAUCAUGUAAGAAAGUUUUGUUUAAUUGCAAUAAUGUGUGUGGAUACAUAUGAAAAUUUUAAUACACAUGAAGAGCUCCAUUUAAGAGCACUGUGUGACCUAGGCACUUUACUCAAAUUCGCAAAUUAGAACCGAAAUAGACCCAAAAAUAUAUAAUCUAAAACAAAAAUUUACAAGUACCUGGUUGGGUUUAAAAUUUCUCUACCCAGAAAACUAGAACCGAAAAACAAUCCAAAUAGACUGGACCCGAUAAAAACUAAUUCAUCCCAGAUAGCUCCACCUCAAUUCUUUCAUUCGCCAAUGAUAUCAACACCAACCUGUCUCUGAUACCACUUUGUUGAAAUAACAACUACACAAUGGCAUGAUAGUUUGACCUAAAACCAGAUUCAAAAGCACAAAAUCGUUGACACACUCUCUACCAAAUUCGCCAACGUAGGUUAGAAAAUAUAAGUUUGUAAAAUUAUGGAAUCAGAAGAAGAACGAGGAAAGAACAUAGAAGAUAUGCACAAAAAAUUUUUUUCCCAGAGUUCACCUAGAAUGGCUACAUCUCUGGGGUCUGACAAAGAAGUAAUCCACUAUAAUCUUAAGAACAAGACAUAUAUAACCUCUCUCUCUAUCUCUCAAGCCUAAAAUUCGGCUUAUUUGGUGUGAAAACACACACGAGUUCCUUUUAUAUAGAAGGAGUCUAUUACAUUAACCUAGUUGGAUUAAGGCAUUAGCUCAUUUCCAUAAACCCAUUAGGAAUAUUUCCAAAAUACUUGCAACUUCCAUAACUCCAUAAAAGUAAUAUUUUCAGGAUCAUAUAAGCUUCCAUAAUACCAUGAAAGUGACAUUUCAUUUUGCUAAUAUGGCGUCCUUGUCUUGGUUUAAGUUAUGCGAUCUUGUUUGAUUUCCAUCACCAAAUCAUGACGAAGUCUCUGACGGAUUCCUUGACACAGUCUCUGACGGAUUCCUUGACACAGUCUCUGACGUAGUCCUCGAUUAAUCUCAACAUAUUCUAACAAUGAUGACAUCAUACACGAUCCACUACUUAGGUUAAGCAAACUCAUGCUUCCCCCGACGACACCAUGCUCU